GGACCCGGGAGCGCGCUCCCGUACCUGAGCCCGGCAGCGAGGGAGGGCCGGAGGCUCGCGGCCGUGGCAACGGGCAGCCUCUUCGCGAGAUCUUGGACCAAAGGAUCGUGAGGAAUUACCUACAGCUGACGGUGAUAAAUGAAAAUGGCAUGUUUUGUGAAAUUCUUGGACACUUCGUAUAGUAUCAGCUCUAGGCAAAAUGGGAAGGGUUGUUGUUGCACACUGUGAGAGGGAGUGAAGAUUGUCAUUAACUCUACAAGCACUGUACAUUGCUGAGCAAGAUAAUAAGAAGUCUAUUUAUAAUACCAGUGGAAAUAUGAUUGUAUGAGAUUUGCUUACCUGUUUUAUUCCUUGCAGUACUGUGGUCUUUUAAAAUCUCCUUUCUAAUAGAUCACAACUUCAUGAAGUUAUGUUGUCAAUUCUGUGUUGAAGGACAGAAGCUUGAUUUAGGCAGAGCUAUGGUCAUGUCUUUCUUUAAAAAUACCUGAGCUGUCUGGAAAAUGCCUGCAAUGAAGUCUUGCAGGAAGAUGCUUUUCUACUUCAGAUCAAGUGAUACUGACCCCCACCCUGGCAUCCAUCUCCUUGGUGGGAAGCGCUCCUCAGCUCCAUUAGAGUCCCUGUACUAAGGAAAAAAAAAGCUGGUGCUUUUUCUCAUUUUAAGUAACACAUUACUGAACAUAGAUGUACUUACAUUCAGCGAUGCACUUGGCAUUUCAUGAAUGAACACCCACGAAACUCUGAUACUGCAAUUACAUCAUUUUAUGCUGCAUUCCACUUAUGCUGGUGUUAUUCAAAGACCUUAUCACAUCUUCUCAGUUUGCUUUCUCUCAACAGCUCAGACUCACGUAUUGUCUAGUGUUGGGUUUUUCAAAGACAAAUGAGCAAUAUUGGAUUCUGUAGCUUACGAUUAGGGAAGCUUCUGGCUCUCUUUAAGGUCCUGAUGCAUGUUCCUCUAGCCACUUUAACCUACAGCCCUAAGCAUCUCCAAGCUCCCUCUGUGCACUAGAUAGAAGGACUCUGCCCUGUGCUUCUCUCCAAAUGCAGUAAUUAAACAUGGUCUGUUUCAUAGUUUCUUCAGUGACUUAAAGACCUUCAAAAUCUGACUGUUAUAUUGUUUGCUCCUCAAAUGUGUGUCUCAAUUCUCCAUCAGUAGAGUGGUGAAAAGAUCAAAUUUUGUAUCUCCAAGGUAGAGUGUGUGAAAAAAAGGAAUUUUGGCACCUCAGAAAUGGAUAAGGGAUUUUUAUAAAGCAUUUGGCAGUAGUGCAUGAAGAGCUGGAUAAACACUGGGCAGUAAUUCAUAAACUUUUGGUUUAAAAUCUCUUGCUGUAUGUAACAAUGGAUAAUUGUCAUCCAGGAGGGCUGUUGUUUCCAUGAGAGUCCCACAGAGCAGUUUGUGGUUACUGGCUAAUGGCUGUGUCCUGGAAAGCAGAAAUUAAAGGAUUGAUUACAUUGGA
This is a long non-coding RNA of Lagopus leucura (white-tailed ptarmigan), 1454 nucleotides long. RefSeq lists it as uncharacterized. NCBI's taxonomy places the organism in Eukaryota, Metazoa, Chordata, Aves, Galliformes, Phasianidae. The transcript has 2 exons. The record is from RefSeq and is a predicted model, not a curated record.